This is a long non-coding RNA of Helianthus annuus (common sunflower), 413 nucleotides long. RefSeq lists it as uncharacterized. The transcript has 3 exons. NCBI's taxonomy places the organism in Eukaryota, Viridiplantae, Streptophyta, Magnoliopsida, Asterales, Asteraceae. The record is from RefSeq and is a predicted model, not a curated record.
GGUUCGUACAAAACACAGGGGGCGACCAAGAAACCCCCAUCAAACCCUACUUCAUGUAAAUUGCUCAAAUUGAAGACCAAAUUCAGUUCCAAAUCGAUUUCCAAGCACGAAAUUAUGAUCUCCUCUAAAAAGGGAUCAUAAGGUAAGGAAUUCGGAUCGUCAAGUGGACAAGCCGGCGGAGAUACGCGUUUGAAGAGGGUGCUUUAAAGGUAUGGAUGAGGACCUCUCGGAUGAUGAUCAAGUACAUUGUAAGGAACCGAACACGUAUUUUGAAGCUUCCGCACUAAACUAAAUCUUGUCUUGACUUUAAUCAUGUUGUAAAUGUUUUGUUAAUCGUGUUUUGAAUCCUUCAAACUAGUUGUUAGCUGACUAGUAAGGAUUAACUUUAAACUUGUUAUGCAUUAACUUAUGUU